Molecule: long non-coding RNA, 480 nt
Filed under: Rattus norvegicus (Norway rat)
Lineage: Eukaryota; Metazoa; Chordata; Mammalia; Rodentia; Muridae
Description: long non-coding RNA NONRATT006642
Source: RNAcentral
GGUCUUCCCAGGGUCAGCUGUGUGUGUUGAACCAGAAGACAGCAAAAGCCCUUCUCCUGUAGCCUUCGUCCUAGGUUACUUGUACUGGGGGUGUUAUUUGGUCCAGAGCUACGCAAGUGUCAGAGGGAGAUUAGAGCCGGGCUCUCCUGACUCCUGUCCAGUGUUCUGCUGUGGCUUCUCCAGGCAUAGACACACAUCUAUGAAACCACAGGCAGGAGCUGGGCAGGAAAAAGCACGGCUCUCCCAGCAGUUGCUAACCCAGUAUCACUCUGCGGUGAUGAACACGUGCCCCACUGUACCUAGGACUGGAGCAGACUAAGGAGGGUUUUCCAGUGUCUCUUUCUGCUACUGACUGUGAGGUACAGACUAUUUUCAUGGCUGUAGGUGUUUGAGGCCUGGGGACACCCCCCCAUAGGCUCUAUAUGUGAGCCCCAGAAUUCCUAGAGGGGGUUAUAGAUUCAUGGACUCAGAAAAAAAAAA